CACACCGCCCGUCACACCAUGGAAGCUGACUCGACCAGAAGAUGGUCAGACUAACCGUAAGGAGGUCUCUGUCGAAGGUAGGGUCGGUGACUGGGGUG
Molecule: ribosomal RNA, 98 nt
Filed under: uncultured bacterium
Lineage: Bacteria
Description: partial 16S ribosomal RNA
Rfam family: Bacterial small subunit ribosomal RNA
Source: RNAcentral